Peromyscus eremicus (cactus mouse) is the source of this 1121-nucleotide long non-coding RNA. RefSeq lists it as uncharacterized. The transcript has 4 exons. NCBI's taxonomy places the organism in Eukaryota, Metazoa, Chordata, Mammalia, Rodentia, Cricetidae. The record is from RefSeq and is a predicted model, not a curated record.
GCUGAACACGCCAGUUUCAAAGGAUGGAGUUGGCCGCAGCUAUACCAAACAGUUUUAAAAGAAAAUGAACAGUCCGCUGUUAGUCUCUAACCAGGCGGGGGUCUGUUACCCAACCCAGCCACUCUGUUUCUGUUUGACUGGCUCACCAGCAAGUCCCAAGGAUCCAACUGUCUCUUCCUUCACGUAGCGGGUUACAGCCAGAAAUGAUGGAAAGUGGUCAAAGAAUUGGCAAGUGGAGCCACAGAAGUGAGAGAGAAAAUAAAAGUAUCUACCUUGAAGACUACAAGGACGUUUGGACAGAUAGACAUCUAAAGAAGGGAGAACUGUUGGGGGGUGGGGGGGGAAUCACCAAGAAAAGAAACAAUCUGCGACCUCUAAAGUCUCCAAAAGGAUGAUGCGGCACCACAACAACAAUUCUACUUGGAUCACAAUAUCUUCACAGGACUGGGCCAACAGUUCAAGAAGUAACUUUGGGGAUGACAUCCACAUUUCUAAGAGGCAGGGAAAAUGGUAUUUGAUCAUUUGGUGAGUUAUGGAUGCUUGCCAUCAUUUAUGGAAGUUAUUUAUUAAUUGUUACUGGUAUUGGCAAGGAAGGAAAUUAUGCAAAUGAUAUUGCAUUCAGGGAUCUCUUUGAAAAAAAAAAAAGAAAAAAAAAGAAGUAGCCAGAGAAGGAGGAGGACUCCAGUGGCCAACCACCCAGCUACACAACCAGCAACAGAGUAAGAAAGAAAGGUAUUAAAAAAAAAGAGAGAGAGAAAGGUAAAAAGCCCAGAGACAAAAGACAGACAGGUUAAUUUAAAUUAAGAAAAACUGGCAAGAAACAGGCCAAGCUAAGGUAAGGCAUUCAUAAUUAAGAAUAAGCCUCCAUGUGUGAUUUACUUGGGAGCUGGGUGGUGGGCCCCCACCAAAAGAAACAAAGAGUUAAAAAAAAAAACAAACAACAGCAUUCUGGAUUUGGCUGAUCUAGCUCUGUGUGCAUUUAAUAGCUGAUAUGUUCUGCAGUCUGGUUGUUCAGUGGCUUGGUCAGUACCACCUCAACUUGAUAAGCCUGGAAUCCUGAAAUCCUCUUUUACUUUUCUUUUUACCUUGUAAAUUUUAUAUAUUGACUUAUGAUGCUAAGA